GUAUGUAUGUAUGCAUGUGUGGGCAUGUAUGUGUGUAUGCAUUUAUAUAUGCAUGUAUGAGUGUAUGUACGUAGCCAUGCACGUAUAUACGUAUAUUUGUAUGCUUGCUUUUAUGUACGUGUAUAUGCAUGUGUGCAUACAUGCCCACUAUGCAUGCUUUCACACGAGUAAGUUCACAUGUAUGUAUGUAUGUAUGUAUGUAUGUGCACAUGUACACAUGGGUACAGGAAUAAAUGGGGAUCUUUAUUCCAUUCUAAAUUUUAGGAAUGCUUUGCAUUAUUUGACAGGCUGAAGUUCUAAUCUUCUGAGUAGUUUUAGGUCGACCCAAGUUUUAUAAGUGAAACUGGAUUCAUGGGAACGGUGGCAGAGCGACAGAUUCUUUGUAUCCAUAAUUUCAAAGGCACAUACUGUGACAGAAAGAAUUUGCCUGAGAAAUACGUCCAAGAUGCUGACAUUCAGUCAAUUACAUUAACAUUCCACGAGAAAGAUAAAAUCAGGAGCGAAUUACAGAGAACCGAUGUUUUGGUAAAGAAAAAUUGGAUAUAGUUAUUAGUGAGGAGCCUGUUGAGAUGGACACAGCCAGAGUGAUGAAAUGGAGAGAGACAUGAAUAGGAUGGGAAUGUCUGAGUGGAUUUGGUACAAGCUCAAUCAGCUACACGGAACAGAGGCUGUUAUUGUUGGGAUCGAAAAAUACCGAAGACAUUACACUCAUUGAAAGUUUUUUUAACGACAAGCAAUCAAAUAUCCGUAUUGAAAAGAUGACACCUAACUCUCUACGUUGUUUCGCCCUUCUCUGCUUACUCGUCUGUGGUUCUGAGGCAUGGUUUGCAUUGGGGACUUGCGGUGAUAAACAUUACCAGAAGGAUCUUCAAAUCUGCUGCGGUGAAACUAUACACUUCGUAACAGGAAACAGCUUCUCGUGCUGUGGAGAAAACAAUUAUGACUUAAGUACCCAUAAAUGUCAAAAUGGAAAGAUCGUCGAAAGAGCAUGAUAUCCCAGAGAGAAACGAAUAUUAUGUUUAUUACUAUCUACAAAUGAUAUUCUAUUUGUAUUAAUUGCUAUAUUAAUCAAUAAAUAUUAAAUAUAUCCCAAAAUA
Molecule: long non-coding RNA, 1097 nt
Organism: Octopus bimaculoides (California two-spot octopus)
Lineage: Eukaryota; Metazoa; Mollusca; Cephalopoda; Octopoda; Octopodidae
Source: RefSeq, a predicted model, not a curated record